UACGUAGGGUGCAAGCGUUGUCCGGAAUUAUUGGGCGUAAAGAGCUCGUAGGCGGUUUGUCGCGUCGGCUGUGAAACCUCGGGGCUCAACCCCGAGCCUGCAGUCGAUACGGGCAAACUAGAGUGUGGUAGGGGAGACUGGAAUUCCUGGUGUAGCGGUGAAAUGCGCAGAUAUCAGGAGGAACACCGGCGGCGAAGGCGGGUCUCUGGGCCAUAACUGACGCUGAGGAGCGAAAGCGUGGGGAGCGAACAGG
This 253-nucleotide ribosomal RNA is filed under the name uncultured bacterium. RNAcentral's name for it is "partial 16S ribosomal RNA". It matches the Rfam family "Bacterial small subunit ribosomal RNA", at positions 524 to 776 of the family's 1533-position model. The record is from RNAcentral.